CUUAGUUCGUGGAGUGAUCUGUCUGCUUAAUUGCGUUUCAAAAUUUAACUUGAGGACCGGGUUUUGGUUUGGCUAGUGGUUCUACGAUGACUGUGAACUGUCAUGUCUUCGGAUGUGCGACUAUUGGUCUAGGAUCACAUGACUUGCCCCUGGGACUCUUUUGAACGCAACGGACGUGAUUGCAACCCCUUGUUGAGAUUAGAGAUAGUCUCGAUAUUCACUGGACAAACUGGCUGCUUUAUGCAGUCUUGUUGAAUGGUGGAUAAACUCGGGGGACUGCUGACUAUAACCAUUUCUCAAAACAGAGGAAGGUUGCGGCAAUAACAGGUCUGUGAUGCCCUCAGAUGUCCCGGGCUGCACACGUGCUACAAUGAGUGGCGCAAUGUGCUAAUGUUUAAGGGAUAAGAGUGUGGUCAGUAGAACGUCGGGAUUUCCCCUGACGUCUCCCCCGCACGAUUAUCAGCCUUCCCUUAACAGGGCGGGCAACCUUUUCAAAAUACUGGUUUGAUGUUAAAGUAUUGAGUCGUUUUUUUUGGAUGGUGGUUUGUUAACCAAUACCAUCCGGCAACUGCUCGCGAGUUUGUGGUUCUGGCGA
RNAcentral lists this ribosomal RNA (595 nucleotides) under Globigerinoides ruber albus. Its description in RNAcentral is "partial small subunit ribosomal RNA". It matches the Rfam family "Eukaryotic small subunit ribosomal RNA", at positions 1293 to 1605 of the family's 1831-position model. The record is from RNAcentral. Lineage: Eukaryota; Foraminifera; Rotaliida; Globigerinidae.